Molecule: ribosomal RNA, 687 nt
Filed under: Triticum aestivum (bread wheat)
Lineage: Eukaryota; Viridiplantae; Streptophyta; Magnoliopsida; Poales; Poaceae
Description: partial small subunit ribosomal RNA
Source: RNAcentral
AUGGCAGGAUCUAGAUCGAGUGUUCAUGGAGAAAACCAUGGGGAAGAAGAUGCCCCGGUCACACGUGUCGAGCUGCAGCGACUCGAGAACAACUUACUCCAAGCCAUGGAAAGGAUGCUCCAUGAGCGUCCUCCAGCAGGUGGUGAUAGGAUUCGACACCGACAACACCCUAUUGAUCCACUUGAGGAAGUUGGCGAUGAGAAUUCCGUGCAUGCUGCUGUGGAUGGUGACUUGGAGGAUGAUAACACCAACUAUGGUGGACAUGUAGCUGCUACUCAUGGGCGUGGUGCUGCUGCUCUUGGAGGGCAGCGAGGAGGACAACUUCGAGGGCGAGGCCAUGGUCCUCGUGGGCACUACUAUGACCAUCAUGAGCGUGUUGCUCUUGGUCAUGGAGAUGAUUUUGAUGAUUAUGAUGGUGUCCCAUACCGUCGUGCCGCUGAAGAUGGGCCUCGUGCAGAACGUCAUGAUCGAGAUGGUCGAGAUGACAUGGCAAGAAUUAAGUUGCACAUCCCCAAGUUCACAGGAAAGGAAGACCCCGAUGCAUAUUUUGAUUGGGAAGAGCAGUGUGAUCAGAUUUUCGUAUCCAUAACCUUGCUGAUCCGAAGAGAGUCAACCUUUCUUGUGUUGAGUUUUCUGGUUAUGCACUCACUUGGUGGAAUCAACUACAAGAAAAUCAGUUGCUGCUAG